Molecule: long non-coding RNA, 325 nt
Organism: Phodopus roborovskii (desert hamster)
Lineage: Eukaryota; Metazoa; Chordata; Mammalia; Rodentia; Cricetidae
Exons: 2
Source: RefSeq, a predicted model, not a curated record
UCUCACGAUCCCUGUCCCAACCCACAGCCCACAGCGAUUGCUCCAUUCCUUACGCCCUCCUCUAAGGAAUCUGAGCUUGUCUUGUUCCACCUAAAGCGUGACCACAUUGAGGUGUUUUGGAGCCAGCAACAAAGGAGCAGCUGCAAGACCACCCCUGAAUCUGGCACUGCAGAAGCCUUGAUGGGACCAUAGAGACAGAUGUCCUGCUCCGGUUGUAUGCAACCCAGACCCACCUCAAAUGUCACUCCCUAUAUCUGUGCUUACGUGUAAAAAAAGUCUGUAUACAUAAAAAUUGCUGUGGCAAAUAGACUAUAAUUAAUACCAA